Lagopus leucura (white-tailed ptarmigan) is the source of this 368-nucleotide long non-coding RNA. RefSeq lists it as uncharacterized. NCBI's taxonomy places the organism in Eukaryota, Metazoa, Chordata, Aves, Galliformes, Phasianidae. The record is from RefSeq and is a predicted model, not a curated record. The transcript has 4 exons.
UCAAAGACCAGUGAAGCAACUCAGUGUUAUUCGCACAGAUCAAGUCUCCCUCUCUGGAUAGCAACAUGGCCACAAAACUGCCAUCUCAAGAGGAAUGUGAGAGCUGGACAGCUUUUCAAGUCGCAGACCUCCUAAGACAGUUUGGAAUGCCUGAAUCUGCUGUGCUCGUAGAAAAACUGGGUAUGGAUGGAUCUCAUUUUUUGUGACAGACUGAGAAGGAUAUAAAAAACAGUGAAUUUUGAGUUGGACUUCAGGACACAAACAGAUCACAUGAUUGGAACACAAGUACCUUGGAGAAAACCAGUCCUAUUUCCAUCACCAAUACACUAGCAGUUUUAUUGAGUAAUGCUUGAAGAAGGAAACUUGCA